GUUAAAAUGAAUAUAAACAUGCAAAUAUGAAAAGUAGAAAAUAUGCAAAUAAAAAGAUAUUUGAAAAAUGAUUUUUUUAAAAACAAAUAAAGCAUUAGAACAUAUUCAUAUGACUAGCUGACUCAGCUCCACGGUUUAAGCAAAUCAAACGUGUGCUCUUUGCUUCUAAGUUUUUAUUGAUUACAUGGACAACUCCAGUGUUAGACAAUAACAAUGUAACUUAUUGGUAUAUGUAUGUAGUAUUGUCUUGUAAUUGUACUUUACUAAAUAAAACCAAUUUUUUGGUCACUUUUUUACUUUAACUUCACUACAUUUAACUCAAAUAGUUUAUUUUUACUCCAACACAUUAGGCAAUGUCUGUUGUUACUUUUGUAAGCUUUUGUGUGGUCCAAAUUAAUAAUUCAGAAACAGCAUGAAAUUCACAGCUACAAUCAUGCAGUUAAAUGUCAGUGCAACAGUGUGACAUUUUGCAUACAGAGACUAAAAAAAAGGUUUUUGACAUAAAAAGGUAAAAAAUAUAUAUAUAUUUCCAUCUGGAUCAAUUAUGUAUUAUAUUUAUUUGUAUCAAUUUAGAAGACAGCACCUUUUCUCUGAACCCACUCAUUUUUCUUGUGAGCAAAGGUAUUGGAAUAGAUUAACUCAAAAUAAAUUAAAGUGAAAAAGACUUUAAUAUUUAGUUGCAAAUUCUUUGCUUGCAAUAACUGCAUUAAGCCUGUGACCCACUAUCACUAAACCAUUGCAUUCUGUGAUGUUUUUCCAGGUUUUCAGCACAGCCUUUUUAAGUUGGUGUUUGUGGCCUACUCCCUUCAGCUCCUCUUUAGCAGUGGUCAGAACACAUUGGAUUGGACAUAUGUCCUGCACGUCAGACUUCAUAUCAGGUAAGUAAAUCAAGGUAAAACUAGAAAAAGAAAGGCACAAUUUAAAACCCUAAUCCUAACCAUGUUGCAGGUGCUACAGAGAUCUAGUUUAGUGAAAGUUGUAGCCAGACAGAAAAUUGUUCAAAACCUAAAGACGUGGGGUAUGAAGGCUUUGGUAAUCUGAUUAAGGUACCUACACUCAGAGAUCAGCUGCUCCAGUGGACAUAAAAACUUCAGUUAAUUUUAUUACUGCCCAAAGAAAACAUGGAGCUUCACGAGUAAUGAUAGUGUGAACACAAUGGCAUGCCUAGCGUUCACUAGCAAAACAGUCUGACCAUAGUUUUCACAGAGCAACUGGAAUAGGUUAGUACAU
Molecule: long non-coding RNA, 1230 nt
Filed under: Astyanax mexicanus (Mexican tetra)
Lineage: Eukaryota; Metazoa; Chordata; Actinopteri; Characiformes; Acestrorhamphidae
Description: lncRNA (ENSAMXG00005024389.1)
Source: RNAcentral